This is a non-coding RNA of Camelina sativa (false flax), 1441 nucleotides long. NCBI's taxonomy places the organism in Eukaryota, Viridiplantae, Streptophyta, Magnoliopsida, Brassicales, Brassicaceae. The record is from RefSeq and is a predicted model, not a curated record.
GACUUUUUUUUUUUUGUCUGAUUCUCUCAAAACACUUUCGUUUUAUCUUAAUCUUUUCUGCAAUGGGAUAUGAUGAAAUGGCAUUAAUGUUUUGUGACACCCAGUCUGAUCUGCUUCGGCGGAGUGAUUGAUUUGCCAUUAUUCUCUGAUCCUAAAAGUCUUUGUGUUUUCAAUUUUGUGAAUUUGAUCCAAAGUUUUGAUCUUUGAAGGGAGGAAUGAGGGGAAGAGUAUAGGCCCGGCCCAUAGUAUAUUUAAGUGAAAGAGUUACGCAUGGGAGUUCUUCGGGGUCCAAGGGGAAGCUUAAGAUCAAGGUUCCAUGGUUUGAUAAUUCGGCUUUGAUUGAGUGUUAUGUUAAGACCUUAAUUGGUAGAGGCAUGAAUCCAGUGAUGCAGGAUAUGAUGGCACUGUUGUUUGUACUGCCGCGGAUCUGGAAGAUUGAGGAGGAGAGGGUGGUUGGUUGGGGCUGAUUUGGGAGAGGUAGAGGAGGUUGAUAUUGAUAAUGGUCGGGUUAAGGUUUUGCUUGAUGGUUUCAAUUCAAGCCGUUUGGUCUUUGAUGCCUCAGUAGAGUUUCCAUAGUAAAGAGGAGACGACGGUGACUCUGCGGUAUGAGCGGUUGUAUGGAUAUUGUUGAAGGUGUCACAGUCUUUGUCUUGAUGUUUUCCGGUGUCCACUCUUUGGCGACAAAGGGAAGCAAAAGAUGGAAGAUGUGUCGGGUCCUCGGCCAGAGGAUAAGGAUAAGCUUCAGAGCUAUAAGGGGGCAAUGGUUAAUGGAGUAACCAUUAUAUGAUGAAAAAUGGCAUUAAUGUUUUGUGACACCCAGUCUGAUCUGCUUUUGCAGAGUGAUUGCUUUGCCUUUAUUCUCUGAUCCUAAAAGUCUUUGCGUUUUCAAUUUUGUGAAUUUUAUAACUAAAGUUUUGAUUUUUGUCUUUGUGUUUUGUAUUGUUUGGUGAUGAUUUGCCUAUGGUAUCUGAUGUCCAAAGUUGAUUAAAAAAAUGUGUUUGGACAUUUCGUUUUUCUUAGGCAGAAAGUGUAAUCAGGCUUUGUGACACUGUUAGCUUCUUUAUAACCAUAAGCUAUCUGACUUGGUUCUCUUGGUGUUGAAGUUGCUUCCGUGGUGAUAAUCUUUGGAACCAUCUCUCUGUCGUUUUUAUAUGAUACCUUGUGGAGAUGCCGACUUAGCAUAUUGAUCCGUGUUUUAUUGACAAGUUCAUGUCAGAGAAAGUGAAGAGCAUUGAAGGUAUUUACUACUGGAAUAUCAAAGUCGCAACAAGUGUUUAUUAGACUAUUUGGAGUUUGCUCUUGUUUGUAUCAAUAACUUGUAUGGUUUCAUUUCUGCUGAUAUUAAAAGAUAAUGACAAGAGUUUACUUCCACUCUUUUGUUUUGACCUGAAAUAUAAACGUGACAAUGAAGUUUGAAUAAGACGAUGUACACAUUCUCGUU